GAUCCUGGCUCAGGACGAACGCUGGCGGCGUGCUUAACACAUGCAAGUCGAACGAGAAUCUGCGGAAAGAGGAUUCGUCCAAUUGAAGCAGAGGACAGUGGCGGACGGGUGAGUAACGCGUGAGGAACCUGCCUUUCAGAGGGGGACAACAGUUGGAAACGACUGCUAAUACCGCAUGACACAUCGGAGUCGCAUGGCUCUGAUGUCAAAGAUUUAUCGCUGAAAGA
RNAcentral lists this ribosomal RNA (227 nucleotides) under uncultured bacterium. RNAcentral's name for it is "partial 16S ribosomal RNA". It matches the Rfam family "Bacterial small subunit ribosomal RNA", at positions 15 to 225 of the family's 1533-position model. The record is from RNAcentral.